This 254-nucleotide ribosomal RNA is filed under the name uncultured bacterium. RNAcentral describes it as "partial 16S ribosomal RNA". It matches the Rfam family "Bacterial small subunit ribosomal RNA", at positions 524 to 776 of the family's 1533-position model. The record is from RNAcentral.
GACGUAGGGCGCGAGCGUUGUCCGGAUUUAUUGGGCGUAAAGAGCUCGUAGGCGGUUUGUCGCGUCUGCUGUGAAAGACCGGGGCUCAACUCCGGUUCUGCAGUGGGUACGGGCAGACUAGAGUGAUGUAGGGGAGACUGGAAUUCCUGGUGUAGCGGUGAAAUGCGCAGAUAUCAGGAGGAACACCGAUGGCGAAGGCAGGUCUCUGGGCAUUAACUGACGCUGAGGAGCGAAAAGCAUGGGGAGCGAACAGG